UUUCGACCUAUAUAGAGUUUGAAAGUACACGGGAAGCAUCGAUCGGGGUUGUUGCAUAAUUUCUAUGGAAAUUCGUGGAAUCUGUUUGGCAGUGCAGUGGCCGAUUAAAUUUUCAUGGGACAAUAUGCGAGCCAGCGACAUGGCGAGAAGUUCAAAUACAUCUGAACCCCCAGCAAAGUCGGAAGAGAUUGUAGCCAUUGAUGUCUUGAGUAACGGGUGCGCACCAAAGCCAAGUCUUGCCCUGUGGGCAUUAUGGUUGUUUGCCAGGGUAAGAAAGCUGUGGGAUUUUGGGCAGAACGUAAGGAGUGAGAGGAUGGUCAAGAACAUGGAAACAACGCUGCACAUGAAUUUUCCAGUUAGCGUCUGGAUUAGCUUGAAGUAUCUACGGUAGAUCCAGUGUCUAAUCGUGGCAUCAGCGAUGCGGGCCAACCCAUAAAUAUACACUUGGGUCCUCAACCCCGGACUUAAAUCCACGAAGGAGAGCUUUCGAGUGGUUGAUUUGUCAAAACCUCACAAACUAUUGGUUACGUAAUUGAAGAAUGAGCACGAGCAUUGGAGAUUAUCACCGGAUAAGUGGAUCAAGGAGGUACAAACAAUGUCAAUGAGUGAAGAUAAAAGGAUGAUGACAUCGAGUCAGCUGUUGUUGUUGUAGGUAGUGUUAUUAAUGGUCUGAAAGUGCCUUUAUCAUCUUCCACAACGUCCCGUUUAACUUCAGAGACAUAACACCUCAACAACCAGAGACAAGCUUUCUCUUGUGACGCUUUGAAGCCACAGUGGAUUGAUGUGCUUGAAUAUAAUAUUGCA
Chelonus insularis is the source of this 804-nucleotide long non-coding RNA. RefSeq lists it as uncharacterized. Lineage: Eukaryota; Metazoa; Arthropoda; Insecta; Hymenoptera; Braconidae. The record is from RefSeq and is a predicted model, not a curated record. The transcript has 4 exons.